AUGAAGUUGGAAUCGCUAGUAAUCGCGGAUCAGCAUGCCGCGGUGAAUACGUUCCCGGGCCUUGUACACACCGCCCGUCACACCAUGAGAGUCGGGAACACCCGAAGUCCGUAGUCUAACUUUCACGAGAGGACGCGGCCGAAGGUGGGUUCGAUAAUUGGGGUGAAGUCGUAACAAGGUAAC
Molecule: ribosomal RNA, 183 nt
Filed under: uncultured bacterium
Lineage: Bacteria
Description: partial 16S ribosomal RNA
Rfam family: Bacterial small subunit ribosomal RNA
Source: RNAcentral